GUGCUUGCUUCAGCAGCAUUUAUACCAAAAUUGGAACAAUACAGAGAAGAUUAGCAUGGCACCUGCACAAGGAUGACACACAAAUUUGUGAAACAUUCUGCAUUUUU
This 107-nucleotide small nuclear RNA is filed under the name Phascolarctos cinereus (koala). The record is from RNAcentral. Lineage: Eukaryota; Metazoa; Chordata; Mammalia; Diprotodontia; Phascolarctidae.